ACUCAAAUGAAUUGACGGGGGCCCGCACAAGCGGUGGAGCAUGUGGUUUAAUUCGUCACUAACCGAAGAACCUUACCCAGGCUUGACAUCGCGUGAAAGGCUGUGAAAGCAGUCCCUCCCUUCGGGGACACAAAGACAGGUGUUGCAUGGCUGUCGUCAGCUCGUGUCGUGAGAUGUUGGGUUAAGUCCCGCAACGAGCGCAACCCUCACCGGAUGUUGCCAGCGUCAAGUCGGGCACUCUUCCGGAACUGCCCGUGCAAGCGGGAGGAAGGUGGGGAUGACGUCAAGUCGGCAUGGCCCUUACGCCUGGGGCUACACACAUGCUACAAUGGACAUUAACAAAGGGAACCGAUCCCGUGAGGGGGAGGCAAUCUCGAAAAUGUGUCCUCAGUUCGGAUAGCAGGCUGCAACUCGCCUGCUUGAAGCCGGAAUCGCUAGUAACCGCCGGUCAGCUAAACGGCGGUGAAUACGUUCCCGGGCCUUGCACACACCGCCCGU
This 498-nucleotide ribosomal RNA is filed under the name uncultured bacterium. Its description in RNAcentral is "partial 16S ribosomal RNA". It matches the Rfam family "Bacterial small subunit ribosomal RNA", at positions 899 to 1397 of the family's 1533-position model. The record is from RNAcentral.